This 424-nucleotide ribosomal RNA is filed under the name uncultured cyanobacterium. RNAcentral's name for it is "bacterial SSU rRNA". It matches the Rfam family "Bacterial small subunit ribosomal RNA", at positions 356 to 795 of the family's 1533-position model. The record is from RNAcentral. Lineage: Bacteria; Bacillati; Cyanobacteriota.
GGGGAAUUUUCCGCAAUGGGCGAAAGCCUGACGGAGCAACGCCGCGUGAGGGAAGAAGGCCUCUGGGCUGUAAACCUCUUUUCUCAAGGAAGAAGAUCUGACGGUACUUGAGGAAUAAGCCACGGCUAAUUCCGUGCCAGCAGCCGCGGUAAUACGGGAGUGGCAAGCGUUAUCCGGAAUUAUUGGGCGUAAAGCGUCCGCAGGCGGCCUUUCAAGUCUGCUGUUAAAGCGUGGAGCUUAACUCCAUUAAGGCAGUGGAAACUGUUGGGCUUGAGUGUGGUAGGGGCAGAGGGAAUUCCCGGUGUAGCGGUGAAAUGCGUAGAUAUCGGGAAGAACACCAGUGGCGAAGGCGCUCUGCUGGGCCAUAACUGACGCUCAUGGACGAAAGCCAGGGGAGCGAAAGGGAUUAGAUACCCCUGUAGUC